UAGACGAGUAUAUCCAACUCCAUAAACA
RNAcentral lists this transfer RNA (28 nucleotides) under Mammuthus sp. RNAcentral describes it as "partial tRNA-Phe". The record is from RNAcentral. RNAcentral also lists the same sequence under 1 other name. Lineage: Eukaryota; Metazoa; Chordata; Mammalia; Proboscidea; Elephantidae.